GCGCCGCUCCUGGAGGCAGAAACGUCCGCCGUUUGCUCGGAUCCGAUGCGAGAUUUGCUGCUGUUCGUGCUCGUCACUUUUUCUUUUGCUUGUUCUUCUGUCGUUCGGAUUCUUCUUGAUUUUGGUUUGGUUUUGUGGUUGAUGAGAGGAGAGCGGCGGCGAUGACGAAAAACAUGGUUCGCUCGUCUGAACGGCGGGUUCUCCCCCGCCUUGCGGAGCUUAAAAGUAGUCCGAGCCCAGCGACGCCUCCUCUGGAUCGAUCCACUGCUCGUUUCUUUCGACGCUGCUUGUUUCUUUCUUUUCUCUCUCUGCUUCAAUCUUCGUGUCGUGUUUUGGUUUCUGAUGAGAAGGGGGUGUUGCAAUGAUGAUUUCUUCAGUCUCGAGAGCAGGUCCCUGCUCGAUGAAUCUGGGAAAUAAUCACCGUUAUUUCCUCCUGAGCGGUUACCUGAGCAACGCCACCCAUCAAUCACCCACCCCUGUUCUUUCGCAUUGGCACUAUGAACGAGCUGAAGAAACGAUUGGAGGAACGGUUCUUUUUCUUGCCAGAUUUCAUUCCAAGACACGAGCGCAGAAUGAUGCUACGAAGCAGAAAGCAGAGUAAAAUUGUAUAUUUGGUGCCAAGAACAAGAUGUCACAGCAGCAGAUGUUCACGAGGCUUGGUCGUUGGUGGCCCUUCCCAGCCCGUUGUGCUGCUCCAUGAAGCGCACGACGACGCAGGUGAUGUUGUCGGCGCUGCCCCGCUGGGAGGCCUCCGCGAGGAGCCGCUUGGCCGCCUGCUCCGAGUCCAGGAUCGGCUUCACCAUGCCCACGGCUUCCUGCAACCAGAUGCUUAGCUUCAGAUGAGCAGCUUUCCGGGACCCCUUGAUUUUCUGAUGACGAAAGGUUUCGCGUUUUACCUCGUUGGUCACCACGUCCCACAGACCAUCACUUGCAAGGAUGAGGAACUCCAAGGAGCUGUCCACAACCUCCUCCUGAACCAACCAAACAAACAGGGGAUCAUUUCGAAUGAUGCUGGUGACUGGUCUCUGCAUCAGUUUUGUACUCUGGGAAAUCUACAAACCUUGAUCUC
Long non-coding RNA from Panicum virgatum (switchgrass), 1069 nucleotides. RefSeq lists it as uncharacterized. The transcript has 2 exons. NCBI's taxonomy places the organism in Eukaryota, Viridiplantae, Streptophyta, Magnoliopsida, Poales, Poaceae. The record is from RefSeq and is a predicted model, not a curated record.